This 125-nucleotide small RNA is filed under the name Marmota monax (woodchuck). Lineage: Eukaryota; Metazoa; Chordata; Mammalia; Rodentia; Sciuridae. The record is from RNAcentral.
GCUGGGUGCCGUGGUGCGCAUCUGUAAUCCCAGCGGCUCAGGAGGCUGAGGCAGGAGGAUCCCAAGUUCAAAGCCAGCCUCAGCAGUGGUGAAGCACUAAGCAACUCAGUGAGACCCUGUCUCUA